This 253-nucleotide ribosomal RNA is filed under the name uncultured bacterium. RNAcentral's name for it is "partial 16S ribosomal RNA". It matches the Rfam family "Bacterial small subunit ribosomal RNA", at positions 524 to 776 of the family's 1533-position model. The record is from RNAcentral.
UACGGAGGGUGCAAGCGUUAUCCGGAUUUACUGGGUUUAAAGGGUGCGUAGGUGGGUUGGUGAGUCAGUGGUGAAAUACUUUCGCUUAACGAAGGAACUGCCAUUGAUACUACCAGCCUUGAAUACAGUGGAGGUGGGCGGAAUGCGUCAUGUAGCGGUGAAAUGCUUAGAUAUGACGCAGAAAACCAAUUGCGAAGGCAGCUUGCUACGCUGUUAUUGACACUGAGGCACGAAAGCGUGGGGAUCAAACAGG